AUAUUCCUGUACCUCUUGGUAAUGCGAUGGGGGGACGGAGAAGGUUAGGUCAGCCGGGUGUUGGACGUCCCGGUUCAAGCGUUUAGGCAGGUCUCUUAGGCAAAUCCGGGAGAUCAAUGUCGAGGCGUGAUAACGAGUGGCUUCGGCCGCGAAGUGAUUGAUACCCUGCUUCCAAGAAAAGCCUCUAAGCUUCAGUUAUCCAGAGACCGUACCGCAAACCGACACAGGUGGGCAGGAUGAAAAUUCUCAGGCGCUUGAGAGAACUCAGGAGAAGGAACUCGGCAAAUUUGCACCGUAACUUCGGGAGAAGGUGCGCCCUGAUAGGUUGUAGCCCCUCGCGGGUGAAGGCUGAAAGGGUUGCAGUGAACUGGUGGCUGCGACUGUUUAAUAAAAACACAGCACUCUGCAAACACGAAAGUGGACGUAUAGGGUGUGACGCCUGCCCGGUGCCGGAAGGUUAAGUGAUGGGGUGCAAGCUCUUGAUCGAAGCCCCGGUAAACGGCGGCCGUAACAAUAACGGUCCUAAGGUAGCGAAAUUCCUUGUCGGGUAAGUUCCGACCUGCACGAAUGGCGUAACGAUGGCCACACUGUCUCCUCCUGAGACUCAGCGAAGUUGAAAUGGUUGUGAAGAUGCAAUCUCCCCGCGGUUAGACGGAAAGACCCCAUGAACCUUUACUGUAGCUUUGCAUUGGACUUUGAACCGACUUGCGUAGGAUAGGUGGGAGGCUGUGAAACCGGGACGCUAGUCCGGGUGGAGCCAACCUUGAAAUACCACCCUGGUUUGUUUGAGGUUCUAACCACGGCCCGUGAAUCCGGGUCUGGGACCGUGCAUGGUAGGCAGUUUGACUGGGGCGGUCUCCUCCUAAAGUGUAACGGAGGAGUACGAAGGUACGCUAGGUACGGUCGGACAUCGUGCUAAUAGUGCAAUGGCAAAAGCGUGCUUGACUGCGAGACCCACACGUCGAGCAGGUACGAAAGUAGGUCAUAGUGAUCCGGUGGUUCUGUAUGGAAGGGCCAUCGCUCAACGGAUAAAAGGUACUCUGGGGAUAACAGGCUAAUACCGCCCAAGAGUUCAUAUCGACGGCGGUGUUUGGCACCUCGAUGUCGGCUCAUCACAUCCUGGGGCUGUAGUCGGUCCCAAGGGUAUGGCUGUUCGCCAUUUAAAGUGGUACGUGAGCUGGGUUUAAAACGUCGUGAGACAGUUUGGUCCCUAUCUGCCGUGGGCGCUGGAAAUUUGAAGGGGGCUGCUCCUAGUACGAGAGGACCGGAGUGGACGAACCUCUGGUGUACCGGUUAUGACGCCAGUCGUAUCGCCGGGUAGCUAUGUUCGGAAGAGAUAAACGCUGAAAGCAUCUAAGCGUGAAACUCGCCUUAAGAUGAGAUUUCCCCGGGGACUUGAUCCCCCUGAAGGGUCGUGGUAGACCACUACGUUGAUAGGCUGGGUGUGGAAGCGCAGCAAUGCGUUCAGCUAACCAGUACUAAUUGCCCGUGAGGCUUGAUCCU
RNAcentral lists this ribosomal RNA (1503 nucleotides) under metagenome. RNAcentral's name for it is "bacterial LSU rRNA". It matches the Rfam family "Bacterial large subunit ribosomal RNA", at positions 1433 to 2925 of the family's 2925-position model. The record is from RNAcentral.